Molecule: ribosomal RNA, 1369 nt
Filed under: uncultured bacterium
Lineage: Bacteria
Description: bacterial SSU rRNA
Rfam family: Bacterial small subunit ribosomal RNA
Source: RNAcentral
GACGAACGCUGGCGGCGUGCCUAAUACAUGCAAGUAGAACGCUGAAGAGAGGAGCUUGCUCUUCUUGGAUGAGUUGCGAACGGGUGAGUAACGCGUAGGUAACCUGCCUUGUAGCGGGGGAUAACUAUUGGAAACGAUAGCUAAUACCGCAUAACAAUGGAUGACACAUGUCAUUUAUUUGAAAGGGGCAAUUGUUCCACUACAAGAUGGACCUGCGUUGUAUUAGCUAGUAGGUGAGGUAAUGGCUCACCUAGGCGACGAUACAUAGCCGACCUGAGAGGGUGAUCGGCCACACUGGGACUGAGACACGGCCCAGACUCCUACGGGAGGCAGCAGUAGGGAAUCUUCGGCAAUGGGGGCAACCCUGACCGAGCAACGCCGCGUGAGUGAAGAAGGUUUUCGGAUCGUAAAGCUCUGUUGUAAGUCAAGAACGGGUGUGAGAGUGGAAAGUUCACACUGUGACGGUAGCUUACCAGAAAGGGACGGCUAACUACGUGCCAGCAGCCGCGGUAAUACGUAGAUCCCGAGCGUUGUCCGGAUUUAUUGGGCGUAAAGCGAGCGCAGGCGGUUUGAUAAGUCUGAAGUUAAAGGCUGUGGCUCAACCAUAGUUCGCUUUGGAAACUGUCAAACUUGAGUGCAGAAGGGGAGAGUGGAAUUCCAUGUGUAGCGGUGAAAUGCGUAGAUAUAUGGAGGAACACCGGUGGCGAAAGCGGCUCUCUGGUCUGUAACUGACGCUGAGGCUCGAAAGCGUGGGGAGCGAACAGGAUUAGAUACCCUGGUAGUCCACGCCGUAAACGAUGAGUGCUAGGUGUUGGAUCCUUUCCGGGAUUCAGUGCCGCAGCUAACGCAUUAAGCACUCCGCCUGGGGAGUACGACCGCAAGGUUGAAACUCAAAGGAAUUGACGGGGGCCCGCACAAGCGGUGGAGCAUGUGGUUUAAUUCGAAGCAACGCGAAGAACCUUACCAGGUCUUGACAUCCCGAUGCUAUUUCUAGAGAUAGAAAGUUACUUCGGUACAUCGGUGACAGGUGGUGCAUGGUUGUCGUCAGCUCGUGUCGUGAGAUGUUGGGUUAAGUCCCGCAACGAGCGCAACCCCUAUUGUUAGUUGCCAUCAUUCAGUUGGGCACUCUAGCGAGACUGCCGGUAAUAAACCGGAGGAAGGUGGGGAUGACGUCAAAUCAUCAUGCCCCUUAUGACCUGGGCUACACACGUGCUACAAUGGUUGGUACAACGAGUUGCGAGUCGGUGACGGCGAGCUAAUCUCUUAAAGCCAAUCUCAGUUCGGAUUGUAGGCUGCAACUCGCCUACAUGAAGUCGGAAUCGCUAGUAAUCGCGGAUCAGCACGCCGCGGUGAAUACGUUCCCGGGCCU